GCUGCUCGUCGGCGAGGUCGGCCAGGGCCGGCUCGAGACCGGUCCGCAGGGGCUGACCGGUCGGAUUCGGUUCGCCUUCGAGGGGCAGCAC
Molecule: transfer RNA, 91 nt
Filed under: Engelhardtia mirabilis
Lineage: Bacteria; Pseudomonadati; Planctomycetota; Planctomycetia
Description: Planctomycetes bacterium Pla133 tRNA-Ser
Source: RNAcentral